AACCCACUCGGGUCCGCUUCCACAGUGUGGAAGCUUUGUUCUUUUGCUCUUUGCAAUAAAUCUUGCUACUACUCACUCUUUGGGUCCACGUUGCUUUUAUGAGUUGUAACACUCACCGCAAAGAUCUGCAGCUUCACUCCUGAGCCGAGCGAGACCACGAGCCCACCGGGAGGAACGAACAACUCCAGACACGCUGCCUUAAGAGCUGUAACACUCACCGCGAAGGUCUGCGGCUUCACUCCUGAGCUAGUGAGACCACGAAUCCACCAGAAAGAAGAAACUCCGAACACAUCUGAACAUCAGACGGGACAGACUCCAGACGCGCCACCUUAAGAGCUGUAACACUCACCGUGAGGGUCCGCGGCUUCAUUCUUGAAGUCAGUGAGACCAAGAACCCACCAAUUCUGGACACAGCCUGAAGGAUAAGAAGAGGAACAUGAGAGAUGCAAACCCUAUAAUGGCAUGAGACCUGAAGACCCUCCACAGCCACAUGAUAUCAUAAUUGUGGGAUGACAGAAGGAAUUUUCAUCUCAACUUAAUGGAUAGGAAAAUGAAGCACAGAGAGGUGAGAAGAAUCACUCUUCAUUCCUGGAUGACCAGCUCUGGCCUAGACUGCCCCAUCCAACCCCACAUCCACCAUUCAAGCUGCUAGGGCCUGAACAUCUAACCAAUGUCCAUAACCAGUCACUGCAUCCUUGUCUUUUGCCAUCUUGUUCCACUUAACAGAGGAAUGAGUUUUUCUGGGAAGGAAAGUGGAACAGAAGGAAAAAAAACCCUGUAUUUGUCAAGAAAAUAAAAAAGUUUUCAAGCAACAUGUCACACAUACACUUUUUACACAUGCACAUUUGCUCAUGCACACAUCUACAUGUACACACUCACAUGCACACAUGCUCACACACAUGCACAUUCAUACACAAACCAAUCAUUCAUCCCUCAGAAGCAGUAUAUGUGUAUAUAUAUAUUUUUUAAUUUUAAUUUUUGUGGGUACUUAGUAGGUAUACAUACUUACAGGGUACAUGAGAUGUUUUGACACAGGCAUGCAAUGUGUAAUAAUCACAUCAUGUAAAAUGGGAUAUCCAUUCCCUCAAGCAUUUAUUUUUUGUGUUACAAACAAUCCAAUUAUACUCUUAGUUAUUUUUAAAUGUACAAUUAAAUUAUACAUUUAAAUUGUACAUUUAAACCCACCCCACCCCUAACCCACCCCACUUCUAACCCACCCCACUUCCCCUUCACUCUCCCACUACCCUUCCCUGGCCCUGCUAACCAUCCUUCCAUUCUCUGUCUCCGUGAGUUCAGUUGUUUUGAUUUUUAGAUUCUACAAAUAAGUGAGAACAUGCAAUGUUUGUCUUUCUGUGCCUGGCUUAUUUCACUUAGCAUAAUGACAUCCAGGUCCAUCCAUAUUGCUGCACAUGAUAGGAUCUCAUUGGUUUUAUAGCUGAAUGGUACACCAUUGUGUAGAAGUACCACAUUUUCUUUAUCCAUUCAUCUGCUUGUGGAUACGUAGGUUGAGAAACAGUAUAUUUUUGUCGUAUUACUUCUGGCCAUCUGAGCAAGUACUGUCCAUGUAGUUUCAGUAAGGAAUCAAGUAAGUUAACAAGUAGAAAAUGAAACCCAGGAAAAAAGAUUAAAAGGCACUGAAAUGCUUAAUUCUGAAGGACAGAGGCUGAAAAAUAAUUUCAUAACAAUCUACACACGUAACAUUUACACAGAGGUUGAUGACUGAUUGCUACCAUUGUCAUAUAAUUGAAUGUCUACUCCACACCUAGUACAAGUAUGCUGAUCUGGCUCUGCUAGGAACACUAGAAGAUGAAUUUAAACUUUAUUAUUUGAAUUUCUGGCUAGUUAUCUAUAUGAAAUCUGGAGAAUAAAAUAAUUGUUGAACACUAGAAUGGUUUAUGCCAAAUGAGAGCUUCAGAAAGUAAACUCUAUUCCUGAGGUCCAUUUCAGCACCAUUCUCUAUCCCACUCUUUUCUUUCCUCUAUCUUCGCUGUAUUGUACCAUGCACACUGCCCUUUUUUUUUUUUUUUUUGGUUUCAUGCCCUAACCUAUUUCAAGGCAUAACCUAAGUCCCACCAUAUUGAAAUUAAAUAAUUUUCACCUUUGAAAAACCCCUUCAAUAAAGCAGAAUUUUGGAAUUUA
Pan troglodytes (chimpanzee) is the source of this 2139-nucleotide long non-coding RNA. RefSeq lists it as uncharacterized. The transcript has 2 exons. The record is from RefSeq and is a predicted model, not a curated record. NCBI's taxonomy places the organism in Eukaryota, Metazoa, Chordata, Mammalia, Primates, Hominidae.